This is a long non-coding RNA of Vigna angularis (adzuki bean), 972 nucleotides long. RefSeq lists it as uncharacterized. The record is from RefSeq and is a predicted model, not a curated record. The transcript is spliced from 3 exons. NCBI's taxonomy places the organism in Eukaryota, Viridiplantae, Streptophyta, Magnoliopsida, Fabales, Fabaceae.
CCUGCGGAAUAUUUGCUCAGAGCUUCUUUUUUUGCUAGCGAGUGAGGUAUAUUAUUUGGUAUCAAACAUAUUCUCUUUGUCAUUUAUCUUUCCCCUUUCUUCUCUAUUCAAACUCCUCAUCCACGUCUCAGAAAAACCAACCCAGCUACCAGGAAAAGGACACUUGAACCAGAGGCAAGUGGGUGGAAUUUCUUGAACAAUUUCCAUAUGUUAUUAGACAUAAGAAAGGUUUGCCUCAGUCCAAGAUAGGAAAGGACUAGUGGUGAUCCUCCUUGGCACUUAUCUUGGAUCCUUCCAAGUGGCGUGACUUCAUUCUCCUAAGUUUCCUUUCCUUUCUCUCUUUCAUUUUUAGUCUUUUAAUUCUAUUUCUAAUUAUUCUUGUUUAGUUCUUAGUUUUCUUUUCUAUCUAGGCAUGUUGUUCCAUAUCAAUACACAUGAGGAAGAUGAUUCCCUUAAUAAAGAAAAUCCAAGAUCCAACCUAGAGGGGAUAGGUCAUUCUCAAUGCUAAAAAUUAUCAAUGACAAUGCCUAUAAGAUUGAUUUUCCAUGUGAGUAUAAUGUUAGUAGCACUUUUAAUGUUUUUGAUUUAUCUCCUUUUAUUGCAGAGGAUAAAGAUUUGGGUUUGACAACAAAUCUUUCUCAAGAGGUAACAAGGGAAUGACAUGGACAUCGAAGCUAACGGACAUGAUUAGAAUGAUUAAGACCAAGACCAAGUUCAAGAUUUAGGUGGAUCCAUGACUAUAGAAGGCACAGAAAAGACAAGGCAUUACAGCAUAAGGUAGCUCAUCUAAUGUAGGCUAAAUUGUGGAAGGCCCAACAAUUUUAGGACACUAGGUUGAUUACAUGUAUAACAUGCUUGGAGGGAUAAUAUCAAAUUGUUCAAAAUAUUGAUUGAAGUUAGGAUUUGAACUUGGAACCACAAGUUUAAAAUGUAUUUAGUUAAGUUGGCAAAAUUAACUUUAUUUGUGAUUAA